UGUAUUCACUACUGUAAGUUGCUCUGGAUAAGAGCGUCUGCUAAAUAAAAUGUA
Molecule: non-coding RNA, 54 nt
Organism: Salmo salar (Atlantic salmon)
Lineage: Eukaryota; Metazoa; Chordata; Actinopteri; Salmoniformes; Salmonidae
Source: Rfam